CAAGUGAGAAUGCCGGUAUGAGUAACGAAAAGACAAGUGAGAAUCUUGUCCGCCGAAAGCCUAAGGGUUCCUGAGGAAGGCUCGUCCACUCAGGGUAAGUCGGGACCUAACGCGAGGCCGAAAGGCGUAGUGGAAGGACAACAGGUUGAAAUUCCUGUACCACCGUAAACCGUUAUGAGCAAUGGGGUGACACAGAAGGGCAGUGACGCGGGCUGAUGGAA
RNAcentral lists this ribosomal RNA (221 nucleotides) under Paenibacillus agaridevorans. Its description in RNAcentral is "partial 23S ribosomal RNA". It matches the Rfam family "Bacterial large subunit ribosomal RNA", at positions 1285 to 1503 of the family's 2925-position model. The record is from RNAcentral. Lineage: Bacteria; Bacillati; Bacillota; Bacilli; Caryophanales; Paenibacillaceae.